Long non-coding RNA from Oreochromis aureus, 408 nucleotides. RefSeq lists it as uncharacterized. The transcript has 3 exons. The record is from RefSeq and is a predicted model, not a curated record. Lineage: Eukaryota; Metazoa; Chordata; Actinopteri; Cichliformes; Cichlidae.
UAUGAAGAUUAUAGCUGCUGACCCGGGUGUGCACUUUUGAUCUGGUGGCUAAUUGCCCUACUUGCCUGUCGAGCUGGCCUGACACUUCACACGCAGCGACUGUACUGUACAUGUCACUAUCAUGUCAGCCCAGCAGCCCUCAGAGGACGACAACAGCGUUUAUUUCCUCCCCUUCCACACACAGAAAAUAGUGUCAGUCAUGUUCACUGAGUGGGUGACACACUGCAUGAGGCAGAAACUGGAGCUAGGAUCUAGGCUAUCCUGGCUUAGCCUUCCAGUGGGCACUGACAGAUGUGCUAUUUAAUACCAGAGCUGGCAGCACCUCCAGUUGGAGUGAAUAUAAACUGGCUCGCUGUGUUCCAGGAGGGAGCAUUCAUCGCCGCUGUAAAAGUUUCAGUUGGAGCACGC